GUGCUCUCUUCAGCACAUAUACUAAAAUUAGAAUGCUAGAAAUGAGCAGGGCCCCUGUACAAGGAUGGCACACAAAUUCAUGAAGCAUUCCAUAUUUUU
This 99-nucleotide small nuclear RNA is filed under the name Dasypus novemcinctus (nine-banded armadillo). The record is from RNAcentral. Lineage: Eukaryota; Metazoa; Chordata; Mammalia; Cingulata; Dasypodidae.